UUUCCGUGGGUGAACCUGCGGAAGGAUCAUUAUUGUAUAACCGAGGUGCGAGGGCUGUCGCUGACCCGAAAGGUCGUGCACGCCCGAGUGCCCUCACACACAUCCAUCUCACCCCUAUGUGCACCACCGCGUGGGUCCCCCUUUGGCUUGUUCGGAGGGGGGCUUACGUUUUCACACAAACUUUGUAUGCAGUGUAGAAUGUAUUUUUUGUUUUUGCGAUCACGCAAUCAAUACAACUUUCAACAACGGAUCUCUUGGCUCAC
This 263-nucleotide unclassified non-coding RNA is filed under the name plant metagenome. Its description in RNAcentral is "partial contains small subunit ribosomal RNA, internal transcribed spacer 1, and 5.8S ribosomal RNA". The record is from RNAcentral.